Long non-coding RNA from Carassius auratus (goldfish), 349 nucleotides. RefSeq lists it as uncharacterized. The record is from RefSeq and is a predicted model, not a curated record. The transcript has 2 exons. NCBI's taxonomy places the organism in Eukaryota, Metazoa, Chordata, Actinopteri, Cypriniformes, Cyprinidae.
UAUGGAAAUCUGGGGGCGGCUGUAAAAAAGGCUAUGGGUUUCUAUUUUUCUAACUGUAUUUAAAUCUCUCCUUCUACAUGUUGAGACAUGUAUAUACACAGACCACUUCACCUGAGCGAAUUAGCGUCCAGAAACCCUGACCACGUGAUUCCCCCCGCCCUCACAGUGACUGAAGAUCAGUGCAGGGGGAUACAGGUCGAAGCCUUAAGUUUCUUCAUUAUCAUUGUUUCUGGACUGUUUAAAGAUCGCCUUUUGGACAAAGUGUUGUGUGUGAAUGCAAAAAAAAACCACAACCACGACCAAACCAUCUGUUGAGUGGUGACAAUAAAUGGGUUAUUCCCAGAAAAGU